GUCUCAGGCCGUAUCAGCCUGAAGGUGCCCGAUCUCGUCUGAUCUCGGAAGCUAAGCAGGGUCGGGCCUGGUUAGGAUCUUGGAUGGGAGACCACCUGGGAAUCCCGGGUGCUCGAGGCU
This 120-nucleotide ribosomal RNA is filed under the name Bison bison bison. Lineage: Eukaryota; Metazoa; Chordata; Mammalia; Artiodactyla; Bovidae. The record is from RNAcentral.